RNAcentral lists this ribosomal RNA (585 nucleotides) under uncultured bacterium. RNAcentral describes it as "bacterial SSU rRNA". It matches the Rfam family "Bacterial small subunit ribosomal RNA", at positions 338 to 916 of the family's 1533-position model. The record is from RNAcentral.
CCUACCGGAGGCAGCAGUGGGGAAUUUUGGACAAUGGGCGCAAGCCUGAUCCAGCCAUUCCGCGUGCAGGAUGAAGGCCUUCGGGUUGUAAACUGCUUUUGUACGGAACGAAACGGUCUGCCCUAAUACGGCGGGCUAAUGACGGUACCGUAAGAAUAAGCACCGGCUAACUACGUGCCAGCAGCCGCGGUAAUACGUAGGGCGCAAGCGUUAAUCGGAAUUACUGGGCGUAAAGCGUGCGCAGGCGGUUAUAUAAGACAGAUGUGAAAUCCCCGGGCUCAACCUGGGAACUGCAUUUGUGACUGUAUGGCUAGAGUACGGCAGAGGGGGAUGGAAUUCCGCGUGUAGCAGUGAAAUGCGUAGAUAUGCGGAGGAACACCGAUGGCGAAGGCAAUCCCCUGGGCCUGUACUGACGCUCAUGCACGAAAGCGUGGGGAGCAAACAGGAUUAGAUACCCUGGUAGUCCACGCCCUAAACGAUGUCAACUGGUUGUUGGGUCUUCACUGACUCAGUAACGAAGCUAACGCGUGAAGUUGACCGCCUGGGGAGUACGGCCGCAAGGUUGAAACUCAAAUGAAUUGACGG